CUACGGGUCGCACCAGUGGGGAAUAUUGGACAAUGGGGGAAACCCUGAUCCAGCAAUGCCGCGUGUGUGAAGAAGGCCUGCGGGUUGUAAAGCACUUUCGGUUGGGAGGACUGCUUCUAGCACUAAUAUUGUUGGAAGUUGACGUUACCUUCAGAAGAAGCACCGGCUAACUCCGUGCCGGCAGCCGCGGUAAUACGGAGGGUGCAAGCGUUAAUCGGAAUUACUGGGCGUAAAGCGCGCGUAGGCGGCUAGAUCAGUCGGGUGUGAAAGCCCCGGGCUUAACCUGGGAACUGCAUCCGAUACUGUCUAGCUUGAGUACAGGAGAGGAGAGUGGAAUUCCACAUGUAGCGGUGAAAUGCGUAGAUAUGUGGAGGAACACCAAUGGCGAAGGCAGCUCUCUGGCCUGAUACUGACGCUGAGGUGCGAAGGCGUGGGGAGCAAACAGGAUUAGAUACCCCAGUAGUC
RNAcentral lists this ribosomal RNA (465 nucleotides) under uncultured bacterium. RNAcentral describes it as "partial 16S ribosomal RNA". It matches the Rfam family "Bacterial small subunit ribosomal RNA", at positions 339 to 795 of the family's 1533-position model. The record is from RNAcentral.